Non-coding RNA from Microcebus murinus (gray mouse lemur), 607 nucleotides. NCBI's taxonomy places the organism in Eukaryota, Metazoa, Chordata, Mammalia, Primates, Cheirogaleidae. The record is from RefSeq and is a predicted model, not a curated record.
GUUCAUCUUAUACUUUCUCUGCUGUAGCACUGGAAUCAGUCAUUUCUCCAUGGAAUCCUGUUUCUCUUUCGUGGAAAAUGAGGGCUGGUGACAUAUCAUGAAAAGAGGUCCACAGAGUGAAGAACUGAGGCUUCCAGCCAACAGCCAUAUUAGGGGCACCAUGAAUCCUUCAGUCCCAAUCAAGCCUUCGGAUGGUUGCAGCCCUGGCCAGCAGCUUGACUUCAAUGUCAUCAGAAACCUUGAGCCUGAACUACCAAGUUGGCUACAUGGAGAUCUACGGCAACGAGAUGGUGCUGUGUGUGGCCCAGCAGUUCCCGUCUAACAUUCAACAGUGGUUCUGCAAAGCCUCAAGGAGCAGAGCUAGCAAUAGCAGCAGAUGGGGAGACUCCAGAGUGUUCAUCAGUUUGGGAUGAGACCUUCGCUGGACCUCCUGUUUGUGUUGCAUUAGUUCUUUGGAGGUUCUAUGUGACACAGGGGACUGGGGCAGACACAAGAGGGUAAAAAUAAAUCUUCUGAUGUGCUGCUUUUAAAAUAUGUCAGUAAAUUCUUCAACACUCUGCAGUAGGUGGAAACUAAUUGCUCUCAUUCUCAGGUGUGGACUGGACAC